This 746-nucleotide ribosomal RNA is filed under the name Staphylococcus sp. LPPA 983. Its description in RNAcentral is "bacterial SSU rRNA". It matches the Rfam family "Bacterial small subunit ribosomal RNA", at positions 46 to 774 of the family's 1533-position model. The record is from RNAcentral. Lineage: Bacteria; Bacillati; Bacillota; Bacilli; Caryophanales; Staphylococcaceae.
GCCUAAUACAUGCAAGUCGAGCGAACAGAUAAGGAGCUUGCUCCUUUGACGUUAGCGGCGGACGGGUGAGUAACACGUGGAUAACCUACCUAUAAGACUGGGAUAACUUCGGGAAACCGGAGCUAAUACCGGAUAACAUAUUGAACCGCAUGGUUCAAUAGUGAAAGGCGGCUUUGCUGUCACUUAUAGAUGGAUCCGCGCCGUAUUAGCUAGUUGGUAAGGUAACGGCUUACCAAGGCAACGAUACGUAGCCGACCUGAGAGGGUGAUCGGCCACACUGGAACUGAGACACGGUCCAGACUCCUACGGGAGGCAGCAGUAGGGAAUCUUCCGCAAUGGGCGAAAGCCUGACGGAGCAACGCCGCGUGAGUGAUGAAGGUCUUCGGAUCGUAAAACUCUGUUAUCAGGGAAGAACAAAUGUGUAAGUAACUGUGCACAUCUUGACGGUACCUGAUCAGAAAGCCACGGCUAACUACGUGCCAGCAGCCGCGGUAAUACGUAGGUGGCAAGCGUUAUCCGGAAUUAUUGGGCGUAAAGCGCGCGUAGGCGGUUUUUUAAGUCUGAUGUGAAAGCCCACGGCUCAACCGUGGAGGGUCAUUGGAAACUGGAAAACUUGAGUGCAGAAGAGGAAAGUGGAAUUCCAUGUGUAGCGGUGAAAUGCGCAGAGAUAUGGAGGAACACCAGUGGCGAAGGCGACUUUCUGGUCUGUAACUGACGCUGAUGUGCGAAAGCGUGGGGAUCAAACA